GAUCCUAUCGUCUAGUAGGUUAGGACACAAGACUUUCAAUCUUGUAACACGGGUUCGAAUCCCGUUAGGAUCGCCA
This 76-nucleotide transfer RNA is filed under the name Chloroflexota bacterium. Its description in RNAcentral is "tRNA-Glu". It matches the Rfam family "tRNA". From Rfam's summary of the family: Transfer RNA (tRNA) molecules are approximately 80 nucleotides in length. Their secondary structure includes four short double-helical elements and three loops (D, anti-codon, and T loops). The record is from RNAcentral. Lineage: Bacteria; Bacillati; Chloroflexota.